RNAcentral lists this long non-coding RNA (212 nucleotides) under Lathyrus oleraceus (garden pea). Its description in RNAcentral is "Pisum sativum (pea) long non-coding RNA (PSAT_LNC003331)". Lineage: Eukaryota; Viridiplantae; Streptophyta; Magnoliopsida; Fabales; Fabaceae. The record is from RNAcentral.
UUGAAUGAUGACACAAAUUAAAAAUCCUCUUCUAUUUUUUUUUUGAUUUCAUCUCUUUCUCCAUCAGCAUACUAUUUUUUUGUUGAACUUUUUUAAUUCUAUUAUAUUUAUAUCUUACUUUUGAUUUUUUAUUGUAACUUUCUAAUAUGUAGUAUUUUUUACUCCCAAUAUAAUUUAUUGUAAUAACCUCUCACCAUAUUUUUAUAAUUGAC